AGCGAACGCUGGCGGCGUGCUUAACACAUGCAAGUCGAGCGGUAAGGCCCUUUCGGGGGGUACACGAGCGGCGAACGGGUGAGUAACACGUGGGUGACCUGCCCUCAGCUCUGGGAUAAGCCUGGGAAACCGGGUCUAAUACUGGAUAUGACUCCAUGACGCAUGUUGUGGGGGUGGAAAGCCUUGUGCGGCUGAGGAUGGGCCCGCGGCCUAUCAGCUUGUUGGUGGGGUGAUGGCCUACCAAGGCGACGACGGGUAGCCGGCCUGAGAGGGCGACCGGCCACACUGGGACUGAGACACGGCCCAGACUCCUACGGGAGGCAGCAGUGGGGAAUCUUGCGCAAUGGGCGAAAGCCUGACGCAGCGACGCCGCGUGAGGGAUGACGGCCUGUGUAC
This 396-nucleotide ribosomal RNA is filed under the name uncultured bacterium. Its description in RNAcentral is "bacterial SSU rRNA". It matches the Rfam family "Bacterial small subunit ribosomal RNA", at positions 28 to 423 of the family's 1533-position model. The record is from RNAcentral.